CACGUAGUUGGCCGGUGCUUCUUAUACUCCUACCGUCACUCUCGCUUCGUCGGAGUCGAAAGAGGUUUACAACCCGAAGGCCGUCAUCCCUCACGCGGCGUCGCUGCAUCAGGCUUCCGCCCAUUGUGCAAUAUUCCCCACUGCUGCCUCCCGUAGGAGUCUGGGCCGUGUCUCAGUCCCAGUGUGGCCGGUCGCCCUCUCAGGCCGGCUACCCGUCGUCGCCUUGGUAGGCCAUUACCCCACCAACAAGCUGAUAGGCCGCGGGCUCAUCUUGCACCGAUAAAUCUUUCCACCCCCGGUCAUGCAACCGAAGGUCAUAUCCGGUAUUAGACCCAGUUUCCCAGGCUUAUCCCAGAGUGCAAGGCAGAUCACCCACGUGUUACUCACCCGUUCGCCGCUCGUGUACCCCGAAGGGCCUUACCGCUCGACUUGCAUGUGUUAAGCACGCCGCCAGCGUCGUCCUGAGCCAGGAGUCAAACUC
This 481-nucleotide ribosomal RNA is filed under the name uncultured Nocardia sp. RNAcentral describes it as "partial 16S ribosomal RNA". The record is from RNAcentral. Lineage: Bacteria; Bacillati; Actinomycetota; Actinomycetes; Mycobacteriales; Nocardiaceae.